RNAcentral lists this ribosomal RNA (401 nucleotides) under uncultured bacterium. Its description in RNAcentral is "bacterial SSU rRNA". It matches the Rfam family "Bacterial small subunit ribosomal RNA", at positions 355 to 773 of the family's 1533-position model. The record is from RNAcentral.
UGGGGAAUAUUGGGCAAUGGGCGAAAGCCUGACCCAGCCAUGCCGCGUGAGUGACGAAGGCCUUAGGGUUGUAAAGCUCUUUUGGCGGGGACGAUAAUGACGGUACCCGCAGAAUAAGCCCCGGCUAACUUCGUGCCAGCAGCCGCGGUAAUACGAAGGGGGCUAGCGUUGUUCGGAAUCACUGGGCGUAAAGCGCACGUAGGCGGACUUUCAAGUCAGGGGUGAAAUCCCGGGGCUCAACCUCGGAACUGCCUUUGAUACUGUUGGUCUCGAGUCCGGAAGAGGUGGGUGGAAUUCCUAGUGUAGAGGUGAAAUUCGUAGAUAUUAGGAAGAACACCGGUGGCGAAGGCGGCCCACUGGUCCGGUACUGACGCUGAGGUGCGAAAGCGUGGGGAGCAAAC